CCCUUCGGCAGUCAUGGGAAAUCCCGAGUUGGAAGGAUCACCAAUUCCAACCCCCGGCCCUGCAGGGACACCCCGGAAUUCCCACCCCGCGCAUCCCUGGGAGCGCGGUCCUGGAGCGCCGGCAGCCUUGGGAAUGUCAGCAUUGCCUGGGGAGCCUGGCAACCUUUUCCCAAUAUACCUUUUCCCGAUAAACCGUUUCCCAAUAAACCUUUUCCCAAUAAACCUUUUCCUUAUAAACCUUUCCCAGAUAAACCUUUUCCAGAUGAACCUUUUAUCAUUAAACUUUUUCCCGAUACACCUUUUCCCAAGAAACCUUUUCCAGAUAAACCUUUUCCAGAUAAACCUUUGACCAUUAAACCUUUUCCCAAUAAACCUUUUCCCAUUAAACCUUUUCCCAUUAAACCUUUUCCCAAUAAACCUUUUCCAGACAAAUCUUUUCCCAAUAAACCUUUUCCAGAUAAACCUUUUCCCGACAGACCUUUUCCCAUUAAAACUUUUCCCUUUAAACCUUUUCCCAUUAAACCUUUUCUUGAUAAACCUUUUCCCAAUAAACCUUUUCCCAAUAAACCUUUUCCCAUUAAAACUUUUCCAGAUAAACCUUUUCCCAUUAAAACUUUUCCCAAUAAAACUUUUCCCAUUAAACCUUUUCCCAUUAAACCUUUUCCCAAUAAACCUUUUCCAGAUAAACCUUUUCCCAUUAAACCUUUUCCCAAUAAACCUUUUCCAGAUAAACCUUUUCUCAUUAAACCUUUUCCCAAUAAACCUUUUCCAGAUAAACCUUUUCUCGACAAACCAUUUCCCAUUAAAUCUUUUCCCAUCCAACACACCUUUUCCCAAUUAGACUUGGUAGAUCUUUCCAGACUUUCUACACAAAUUCAAAUCACUCCAACCUGGCACAUUUUGGGCUCUGAUGGCAGCAAAUGGCUCCAAACUCUGCAGCUUUUUUAUCUUUAUACUUAUUUUUAUCCAAUUAACAAUGGACACGUAGAUUAUUUUUCUUAA
Molecule: long non-coding RNA, 1002 nt
Filed under: Cyanistes caeruleus (blue tit)
Lineage: Eukaryota; Metazoa; Chordata; Aves; Passeriformes; Paridae
Description: lncRNA (ENSCCEG00000020265.1)
Source: RNAcentral